CUCUCAAGUACCGGCCACGAGGUUCAAUUUCUCGGUCAGUACAAUAUUAUCGAUGUAUUUACAAGUUCAUAGAGCUAAGAAUUUUUCCCGGCGUUCUACUGACAUUAUCUAAAGUAUCUAGACUCACUAGUACUAUAAUAACUGAACUCGUCGUCGCUACUACUCUGACAAGUCCUCCUAGUAUAACGUUGAGUCGUGGCCCGCCGCAGCGAACUAUCCGUCUGAUACGUACAGCAUCGACCACUUCCUUAGGUUCUACACGUCCGACGCGAACAACGUCGAUCACUUCCUUCCGUUCUACACGUCCGACACAAACGACGUCGAUCACUUCCUUCUGUUCUCCGACGACUAACGCCUGUACGAAACCUUCGGUGGUGUAGCAGGAACCAAUGCCUUUUUCUUGGAGAACAACGUCGAUCACUUCCUUCGGUUCUACACGUUCGACACGAACAACGUCGAGCACUUCCUUCGGUUCUACACGUCCGACGCAAACAACGUCGAUCACUUCCUUCGGUUCUACACUUCCAACACGAACAACAUCGAUGACCUCCUUCAGUUCUUCAAAGACUGAGACCUUUACCAAACCUUCGAUGUCGUAACAGAAACCAAUGACUUUUUCGUGGAGAACUAUACCGACUUAGCGUGUUGACAGGAGCGAGAGGGUGUAGUCGCGGCAAGGGGUCGGGCUGAAGAUGGCAAGACUUCCGAGGCUGGAAACUUCCACCGCUACGUUUCGACCAUUCUCCUUUUCACUUCGCAGGGUCCUUCUUGAUGGUGUGGCCAUGAGGAUCCUGUUCAGGAUCCAAACUUGACUUCGGACUUACAGCCUUGCCCGGAGAUCUUCUCGACGGUCGGCUCCGUGACUGGAGACUUCCACCGCUGUGCCUCGACCACUCUCUCUUCUACGUUGUAGGACCCUUCCUAAUGGUAAGGCCGUGAGGACCCUGUUCAGGAUCCAAACUUGGCUUCGCACUUACAGUAUUGCCCGGACACUUUCUCGACGGUCGGCUCCGAGACUGUAGACUUCCACCGUUGCGUUUCGACAACUCUCCCUUCCAGUUCGUAGGAGCCUACUUGAUGGUAUGGUCGUGAGGAUCCUAUUCAGGAUCCAAACAUGGCUUCGAACUUACGGUAUUGUCCGGACACCUUCUCGACGGUCGGUUCCGAGACUGGAGACUUCCUCCGUUACUUCUCGACCACUCUCCCUUCGACUUUGUAGGAUCCUUCUUGAUGGGACGACCGUGAGGAUCCUGUUCAGGAUCCAAACUUGGUUUCGCACUUACAGUAUUGCCCAGACACCUUCUUUACGGUCGGUUCCAAGACUGGAGAUUUCCACCACUACGACUCGACCACUCUCCCCUUCACUUUGAAAGAUCCUUCUUGAUGGUAUGGCCGUGAGGAGCCUGUUCAGGAUCCAAACUUUGUUUCGCACCUACAGCAUUGCCCAGGCACCUUCUCGACGGUCGACUCCAAGACUGGAGACUACCACGACUACGUCUCGACCAAUCCCUCUUCCACUUUGUACGAUCCUUCCUAAUGGUAUGACCGUGAGGAUCCUGUUCAGGAUCCAAAGUUGACUUCGCACUUGCAGUGUUCCCCGGGCACCUUCUUGACCGUCGGCUAGUGUUCUCCAAGGCGUGUGAUCUUCUUAAUUAACGGAGAGGACUGUUACGUCUUAGACGCUUCUGGGGCAGAUGACUGAGAGACUUGAUUCUCUACUUAAAUCCUGACUUCCGACUUGUUGUAGUCAUCAUGAACUUCUUACGACAAGGAACCCUCAACUCUUUGUUGUAGUCCGACGUUCGACUCUACAUUCACGCGUAAUUAGUACAUUGGUUGGUCGUUAUCCAACUUUCAACACUCGUUGACGUCGCACUUUAAACACCUUUUUGAGACAAAAAAUACACCACCAACCUUGAUAUAAAUCAACACAAGUGUUCCCUUAAAAUGUUGACACUUCCAACUUGUUGAGGCAGUCAAUCACGAUGAACAAACUUGAUAAAAAAACCGCUCCCAUGAAUGAACUUCAAGACUGGGAGAA
This 2041-nucleotide ribosomal RNA is filed under the name Triticum aestivum (bread wheat). RNAcentral describes it as "partial small subunit ribosomal RNA". The record is from RNAcentral. Lineage: Eukaryota; Viridiplantae; Streptophyta; Magnoliopsida; Poales; Poaceae.